CCUACGGGAGGCAGCAGUGGGGAAUAUUGGGCAAUGGGCGCAAGCCUGACCCAGCAACGCCGCGUGAAGGAAGAAGGCUUUCGGGUUGUAAACUUCUUUUCUGAGGGACGAAAAAAGUGACGGUACCGCAGGAAUAAGCCACGGCUAAAUACGUGCCAGCAGCCGCGGUAAAACGUAGGGGGCAAGCGUUAUCCGGAUUUAUUGGGUGUAAAGGGGGUGUAGGCGGGAAAGAAAGUCAGAUGGGAAAACUCAGGGCUCAACCCUGAGCGUGGAUUUGAAACUGUUUUUCUUGAGUGCUGGAGAGGCAAUCGGAAUUCCGUGUGUAGCGGUGAAAUGCGUAGAUAUACGGAGGAACACCAGUGGCGAAGGCGGAUUGCUGGACAGUAACUGACGCUGAGGCGCGAAAGCGUGGGGAGCAAACAGGAUUAGAUACCCCUGUAGUC
Molecule: ribosomal RNA, 443 nt
Filed under: uncultured bacterium
Lineage: Bacteria
Description: partial 16S ribosomal RNA
Rfam family: Bacterial small subunit ribosomal RNA
Source: RNAcentral